AACCAUAGAAACCUGCGGAGUACCUGCGGAGGGAUCAUUACCGAGUGUCGCCCCAUUUUAAAACAAAAAUAGGGGUACCUCCCGUCCUUUGCAGGGCCCUUUGGGGCUUUUUGAACUUUGCUUCGGCGAGUUUACCCCGCCGGAACACCCUCAAGAAAAUCUUUUUAAAAAAACCUGUUGUCUGAGCAUUUAUGAAAUAAAACAAAACUUUCAACAACGGAUCUCAGAUCGGAAGAGCAC
This 240-nucleotide unclassified non-coding RNA is filed under the name soil metagenome. RNAcentral's name for it is "partial contains 5.8S ribosomal RNA, internal transcribed spacer 2, and large subunit ribosomal RNA". The record is from RNAcentral.